RNAcentral lists this ribosomal RNA (462 nucleotides) under Nocardia cyriacigeorgica. Its description in RNAcentral is "bacterial SSU rRNA". It matches the Rfam family "Bacterial small subunit ribosomal RNA", at positions 28 to 507 of the family's 1533-position model. The record is from RNAcentral. Lineage: Bacteria; Bacillati; Actinomycetota; Actinomycetes; Mycobacteriales; Nocardiaceae.
GACGAACGCUGGCGGCGUGCUUAACACAUGCAAGUCGAGCGGUAAGGCCCUUCGGGGUACACGAGCGGCGAACGGGUGAGUAACACGUGGGUGAUCUGCCUCGCACUCUGGGAUAAGCCUGGGAAACUGGGUCUAAUACCGGAUAUGACCUUACAUCGCAUGGUGUUUGGUGGAAAGAUUUAUCGGUGCGAGAUGGGCCCGCGGCCUAUCAGCUUGUUGGUGGGGUAAUGGCCUACCAAGGCGACGACGGGUAGCCGGCCUGAGAGGGCGACCGGCCACACUGGGACUGAGACACGGCCCAGACUCCUACGGGAGGCAGCAGUGGGGAAUAUUGCACAAUGGGCGAAAGCCUGAUGCAGCGACGCCGCGUGAGGGAUGACGGCCUUCGGGUUGUAAACCUCUUUCGACAGGGACGAAGCGCAAGUGACGGUACCUGUAGAAGAAGCACCGGCCAAGUCCACU